UGUGAGGGUAUGCAGGGACAUGUAGUGGAGCUUCAAGCUCCUCUCCCCCUGAUCUCAGGCUUCAGUUCUCACCACCUUGUUCCAGAAGGAUGCCUUGACCUGCCCAUGGACUCCACCUCAGCCUUGGAAGCCUGACCUUUGUUUCCCACAGCCCUGUUCCUCUCAGGGGCUGGAGUCUCUGCUGUCCGCUGAAGUGGCCACCGUGACUCUCCCCACCCAUGCCUGCUGGGAGUCAGGUCUCCAGGACCCUCGCUCUAGGGUGCCCAGGCUUCUCCCAGCAACAUGCCCUCGAAAGGUCAUGAGCUGCGGGAGCCCUGCCUCAGCCUCUGCUUUCAGGAAUGUGGCCCUAGAGAUCCCCAGACCAGACCUUCCCCCAUGCCACGUGUGGGAUUCGGCACACCUGGAUGCACUGCCCUGGGUCCAGGGGCCUGACCCACUCCUGGAGAAGUACCCUGGCUUCUGGGAGGUUUGGUGAAUGGAUGGCUGGAGGAGAGAGGAGGAGGGUGGGGCAUUUCUUCCUUGGCCCCUGCCUUGCUCCGGCUCCCUGGUAUGACCCUGCUGUGCCCGCCUUGUCAGCUGUCCGACUCAUGGCUCCAGCUCUGACCUAGCUCUCCAAACUCAGUCCUGCCCUCCCUGUUCUCCAUGGGCCCACCCAUUGCUGCUAGUCCCUGGCAACUUGACAUCUGAGCUGGUUCUCUUAACCCUAACAGAGUUGGGACCCUUCUGUAAGAGUGCUUUAAUUCAAAGUCUCUUCAAAGACUCCAGAUAGGAUGGAUAUCUAUUUCUUGCGAGGCACGCUAACUGCUUUGCUUUCAUCUGACAGAUCUACUCAGAUUGAUUGCCCAUGGCUGUCCACAUGAUGUGUUUAGGAAGAGUGCUGUGAUCCAUUAGUGAUGUCUGUCAGUGUGCAGCAGGGUAGGCAUGUAUAAGUGCCAUGUUUUGGACUUCUCUGAACUGGAUGGCCCUGUCUCUGAGAUUCCUUUUGGCUCUGACUUCUAGGAUCUAUUAUUUAUGAAAAAAAGAGAUCAAUUUCCCUCCAGAGAAGCCUGAACAAGAUGAUGGAGUUAAUGACUGUGGCCAACCAGCUGACAGCUUAUUGGCAAAUGAGACAUCGACACCGUGGGAAAUUAUCUCCUCCGUGUGGCCAAUUAAUCUUGACUUUGUGGCUCAUGCACUAUCAGUACUGCUGUCAGUAAUGGACCACCAGGGCAGAGGGUGGGAGGGUCUUUCACAGACUUUUGGAACCAAGUGCAAAAAAGUUUGGGGGCCUGUUGAAUGCAAAACCUUCCAGUUACAGGUGGGUCUGGUCAGACCACAGACAGUAGAGUGAUUUGCUCUGCAGCCUUUGUAAAUGCAUAUUUUUAUUAAAGGUGCAUUUU
RNAcentral lists this long non-coding RNA (1379 nucleotides) under Ictidomys tridecemlineatus (thirteen-lined ground squirrel). RNAcentral describes it as "lncRNA (ENSSTOG00000031979.1)". The record is from RNAcentral. Lineage: Eukaryota; Metazoa; Chordata; Mammalia; Rodentia; Sciuridae.